Molecule: long non-coding RNA, 409 nt
Filed under: Medicago truncatula (barrel medic)
Lineage: Eukaryota; Viridiplantae; Streptophyta; Magnoliopsida; Fabales; Fabaceae
Description: long non-coding RNA (MTRU_LNC007286)
Source: RNAcentral
UUAUAUCAAUAGCACAUAAAUUGCAUUAUUAUCAAACCUUCAUAUCUUGCAUGAAUAUACAAUACAUUAGUUCAUACUCAAUUAAUAUCAAUAUAGUCUUAAACAACUCUACUGGCUGCAGUAAACAUCAUCACUAGGUCUCAAUGCCAAUUAGGGGUUCACUCUUGAUCAACACAUGCGACACAGAUCGCACAAACACUCAAGCAACUACCUUCUGGUUGUACUCGCGAGGCGAGAGUACUUACUCGCCAUGGCGAGUAACACUAAUCUCCCAAACUGAUGUUGUUCUGGGUUCAAUCCUGUCCUAAAAUCAUCCCUAAUCAAUACUAGGUAUGUUCAGGUACUCAAAGGCACUCAAGGUCCAACUAAAAAGGUCGAAACACGAAAUAUGACAUGCACUCUGCCUAAG